This 99-nucleotide small RNA is filed under the name Flavobacterium sp. 103. Its description in RNAcentral is "Flavo-1 RNA". It matches the Rfam family "Flavo-1 RNA". The record is from RNAcentral. Lineage: Bacteria; Pseudomonadati; Bacteroidota; Flavobacteriia; Flavobacteriales; Flavobacteriaceae.
AUUAAUUCCGCGUGAGGGAUAGUAGUGGAAAUCCUUUUUAUUAAUAAAUCCCGACAGGGUUUGUUGAUAAAAAGAUUGAAACGAAUAGCCCGACCCGAC